CGCCAGACUCCUACGGGAGGCAGCAGUGGGGAAUAUUGCACAAUGGGGGAAACCCUGAUGCAGCGACGCCGCGUGAGUGAAGAAGUAUUUCGGUAUGUAAAGCUCUAUCAGCAGGGAAGAAAAUGACGGUACCUGAUUAAGAAGCCCCGGCUAACUACGUGCCAGCAGCCGCGGUAAUACGUAGGGGGCAAGCGUUAUCCGGAUUUACUGGGUGUAAAGGGAGCGUAGACGGCAGCGCAAGUCUGAAGUGAAAUGCCGGGGCUUAACCCCGGAACUGCUUUGGAAACUGUGCAGCUAGAGUGCAGGAGAGGUAAGUGGAAUUCCUAGUGUAGCGGUGAAAUGCGUAGAUAUUAGGAAGAACACCAGUGGCGAAGGCGGCUUGCUGGACAGUAACUGACGUUGAGGCUCGAAAGCGUGGGGAGCAAACAGGAUUAGAUACCCGGGUAAA
RNAcentral lists this ribosomal RNA (448 nucleotides) under uncultured bacterium. RNAcentral describes it as "bacterial SSU rRNA". It matches the Rfam family "Bacterial small subunit ribosomal RNA", at positions 329 to 794 of the family's 1533-position model. The record is from RNAcentral.